CCCUGGGUCCCUUUGGAUCCUCCGGGACCCCAAAAUUCCAAAAAAUUCCCAAAAAUUCCCAAAAAAUUCCCAAAAAAUUCCCAAAAAAUUUCCCAAAAUUCCCCAAAUUUUUCCUCAAAUUUCCCCCAAAACUCCAAAAAUUCCAGUUCAAACCAGUUCAAACCAGUUCAAACCAGUUCAGAGCACUUUAAACCAGUCCAAACCAGUCCAAACCAGUCCAAACCAGUCAAUCCCUUUCCAUUCCAGUUCAAACCAGUUCAAACCAGUCCAAACCAGUUAAUCCCAGUCCAUUCCAGUCCAUUCCAGUUCCAACCAGUUCAAACCAGUCCAUUCCAGUUCAAACCAGUCCCUCCCAGUCCACCCCAGUCCGUCCCAGUUCCAGCUGAGCAGGGGGGUCCAGAUGGGCCCUGGCAGCAGCUGACAAACCAGUACGGACCAGUAUGGACCAGUACGGACCAGUACGGACCAGUACGGACCAGUACGGACCAGUAUGAACCAGUACGGACCAGUAUGAACCAGUACGGACCAGUAUGGACCAGUAUAAACCAGUAUGGACCAGUACGGACCAGUAUGGACCAGUAUAAACCAGUAUAAACCAGCACGAGCCAGUAUGAACCAGUAUAAACCAGUAUGAACCAGUAUAAACCAGUAUGGACCAGUGCAGUUUUGAAGCAUAUCCCAGUCUGUCCCAGUUCAUCCCAGUAAAUCCCAGUUUGUCCCAGUCCCUCAUUCCUCCGGUGCUCCCAGUUUGUCCCAGUUUAUCCCAGUUCCCCCAGUAUUCCCAUUCCCCAGUUUGUCCCAGUUUGUCCCAGUUUGUCCCAGUUUGUCCCAGUUUGUCCCAGUUUGUCCCAGUUUAUCCCAGUUUAUCCCAGUUUAUCCCAGUUUGUCCCAGUUUGUCCCAGUUUGUCCCAGUGCUCCCAGUAUUCCCAAUAUUCCCAUUUCCCAGUCGCUCCCAGUGCUCCCAGUUUGAUCCCAGUUUGUUCCCAGUCUCUCCCAGUCCAUCCCAGUCCAUCCCAGCUUGAUCCCAGUUUGAUCCCAGUUCCAUCCCAGCUUGAUCCCAGUUUGUUCCCAGUCUCUCCCAGUCCCUCCCAGUCCCUCCCAGUACCCGCAGUUCUCUCACCGGGCUCUGUCGCUGUCGCGAUUCCCAGCGCCGCCAGCAGCAGCAGCGGCAGCAGCCCCGGCGGGGCCCUCAUGUCGCGACAGAGCCGCGAUAUCGCGAUAGAGGCACCGGGGGGGGGAGCCGCGAUAUCGCGAUAGAGGCAGCGCCAGAUCCGCGGGGCAGAGCCGCGGUAUCGCGAUAGAGGCAGCGGGGGCAGAGCCGCGGUAUCGCGAUAUCGGAGCCGGCAGAGCCCCGCGAUGUCGCGAUAGAAGCCGGCGGGGCCGCCCCGCGAUGGAGGCGCCGAUCGAGCCCCGCGAUGUCGCGACAGAGCCCCCGGGACGUGGCGGCCCCGGCGCGAGCGGGAGCCGAGUGCGGGAACGGGAGCGGGAGCGGGGCCACG
RNAcentral lists this long non-coding RNA (1499 nucleotides) under Junco hyemalis (dark-eyed junco). RNAcentral describes it as "lncRNA (ENSJHYG00000002446.1)". The record is from RNAcentral. Lineage: Eukaryota; Metazoa; Chordata; Aves; Passeriformes; Passerellidae.